RNAcentral lists this long non-coding RNA (1046 nucleotides) under Monodelphis domestica (gray short-tailed opossum). RNAcentral's name for it is "lncRNA (ENSMODG00000036208.2)". The record is from RNAcentral. Lineage: Eukaryota; Metazoa; Chordata; Mammalia; Didelphimorphia; Didelphidae.
AGAGUUUGUAGAAUUAUCUAGGAUCCUGCAGGUGAUCCUUGCAAUCAGAGAAAAGUAAAUCCACCUGAAAGAGACCACUCUAGAAUCACCUGAGAAGAAGGUCUCUUCUGGGAUGUCCAAUGGAAGAUGUUUCCAGGGACUGGACUUGGGAUAUCUGUGACUCAAGAUGAAAUGUUCUGGUGAACUGAAUACUGGGAAUGGGUUACCAUGUUAUAAUCAUUCAUUUCUACCUAUAUGGUUAGCACCAGAUUGGGCAUGUAGGCAAGUCAAGUAACACACUCUGUCCUGCUUGGUCAAAGUGCCACAUACUUAGGGAGGAACAGCUGCAAGCGCUCUACCUCUUUUGCUGAUGUGAACCUAUCAGAAUUGUCUUCAUCGUCUUGUGAAAUCUGUAUUAUAAAAUUCUGGCUUACCCUGAAAAGCUCACUGAUCUCCAGUGAGCAGCCCAACAACAUAGUAUUACCUUGACUUUUUUUGCUUGUUUGUUUAAUCUGCCCUGAGGCAGAAGAAUGGUAAAAGCUAAGUUUUAACUGGGGUUAAAAGCCUUACCCAAGGUCACACAGCUGGGAAGUAUCUGAGUCUAUAUUUGAAUUCAGAAGCUCACUUCUUCACAACUAGCUCCCUAUCCAUGGAGCCCCCUAACUGUCCCUUCCGUUUCCUUUUACCUGCUACCCUUUCUGUUGCAAUCCAUAAGUUUUAUCUCUUGGACUUUGGUAUUCAUUCAAUUACCUAGAUCAGAGAAAAAUAAUGUAUGGAAAGCUUUUCCAACCUUUAAAUGCCUGCUGUUAGUGUCAGAGCCUUGAGGAAUGGAAUCACAAAAGGGUGAAGGAAGAUGUUUGAAGAUUCCAAAAGCUAAUAAUGGAAAUAUUCAAUGUAGAAAUGUCAAUAGUUCCACCAGAAAUUCCUGUGGCUAGCCUUUUCCUGUACCAUAUGUGAGCCAGAGAUGGAUUUAGAAUAUGCUUUGGAUUUGUGUUUUUCCAUUUUUCAAAAAAGAAAUUUGUGAAAUGGAAUGAACUGUUUUUCCUGUUUUGUUCUUUGACUUAUCG